RNAcentral lists this long non-coding RNA (731 nucleotides) under Chrysemys picta bellii (western painted turtle). RNAcentral describes it as "lncRNA (ENSCPBG00000017653.1)". Lineage: Eukaryota; Metazoa; Chordata; Testudines; Emydidae. The record is from RNAcentral.
CCCGUGGCCAGGCAGCAUUCCCCGAGCAGUUGUGCUGGACGCUAACGGUCCCGGCGAUUUACCUCUCUCCCGGCUAGGAGACUUUUCUGUGCACUGAACAGGUUUGUUAUGGGAGGGCAGCGAGGGGACCCGCCAGUGUUUGAUCCUGCGGUUUCACGGCGGGGAGGGAUUGGGAGGCAACAUCACGCAAGGUUCUGAAGUUGUGUAUUUGCAAAGGGACUUGUGAAUUAGACUAAGGGCACACUUCCUGGUUGUCUAGUCUAUAUCCUUCAUCUCCCCUUAGCUGCCCAGCCCGAGCCUACGCGGCGGGCUUAUCCGGAGAAGUCAAGGUUUUCCGAUCAACUUUGCUAGAUAGCGGCUAUCUUUGCAGUCACCUUGGCAAUAAAGCCAAGACGGCAGCGCACAGGCGGUAUGGCUCAGCUCCCCGUUGGCGAUAAGAGACAGCGGAGCAGUGUGGUGGAUCGCGGCGAAACAGACACUCGGAUGAUCAACCCUGAAGGGAAUUGCGUUAUGGUGAAUUGAAUCAAGACUUCGUACCAUGCACUGGAGUAGGUAGAGCUUUUAUAUUUUAAUAUUUAUUGUUGUGUCAUCUCUCAUAAUUCCUCUUAUACCAUAGUUUCUCAGCUUUUGAACUACAUUAAUAUAUUGAAUGAUAGUAACUGGUAUCAAAGGCCCUCUUUCACUUCUGAAAACUGAGUGGAGAAGUUUGUUUACUGUUUACCUAGCUAAAU